Molecule: long non-coding RNA, 1274 nt
Organism: Lycium barbarum (goji berry)
Lineage: Eukaryota; Viridiplantae; Streptophyta; Magnoliopsida; Solanales; Solanaceae
Exons: 3
Source: RefSeq, a predicted model, not a curated record
CUUACCUGUAAAACACAAGGGGAAAAGAAACGUGUGACUAAUAAUGUAUGAGUUGGUGGUGGCAUUAUAGAUUAAUUAGCAUGUGGUUCCCACAGUCCACUAAGUGGAUGAAAACAUAUCCAUCUUUUGGUGUAUAAUUCAUCAUUCUGUUGGAUAGUGAAAGACAAAAGGGAUUAACUAGAUUAUUAGUGGACAAAUCCAUGAAUUUCCACGUGGCACGUUUAUGCAAGGGGAAGAAAUGACUCUUUUAUAUACAAUUUAGUGGCUGUGUGUUGCAAUUAUAUUAAAUGCUAAAUUGGCCCACUUUCCAUUUAUAUAGAGUAAAAGAAAGGGAGGAGAAGAUAAUUAUCCCAUUACUUUAUUCGUGUAAGACAAUUAUGUGUCUAAGUUUCCCUACACGUGAUUGUCCACUAAUUGAAUGAUGAACAUGUUUCUUUACACUAAAUUGGACGAUAUAUAUAUCUUCUACAUAGUAGGAAAAAAACAAAAAAAUUUCUCAAUCUUUCCCAAGUUAUAUAAAACGAUUAGAUAUGCACUUUUCUGUUCCUCCACGGAUAUAACAUUCUGAUCAAAGGUAGCUCACUCAAUUGAGCAACUCUUUUCCAAUACGACUUGGAUUUCAUUCCGCUUGUCCAAGAGCUUCAUAGACCGGCGAGCUCGAGAAGUAGACGUUGGACAUUAGAUAGAGUUCAAGGUAAACAGGGAGGUGAGCUUGAUCCAGAUUCUUAGUAGUUGUCAGCUGAUUGAGAGCACUCCAUUGUUCGGAGGUGCUUAUGUUUAUUCUUUUGGUUCCUUUAUGUAUUUCGCGCACGACGGAGUCCUGUUCCGUCUAUAUGUAUAAUAUGUCAGUAGAGGCUCGUAGACACGCAGUGCGGGUUAGAUGGUCUCACAAGAUUACUAUAUUAUAUUUGUAUAUGUUAUUUUGAUGGCCUAAGGGGCACAUGCAUAUAAAAUCAUUUGUGUUGUCAAAUGAAAAAUGGUUGUCUUAUGAUUAUGAGGUUAUGAAUGAUAAAGAAAUGUAAAAUGGUUAUGACAAGUGAGGAAACGAGCGGUGCUCGGUGGUUAGCCCCGGGUACCCGUCGCGGCCCUAGUCGGGUCGUGACAGAAGUGGUAUACAAAUGAGUAGAGGAUAUGGCCAGAAGACGUUCCAGCGGGAUUGGCGAGCUCCAUUUCUUUCCGGAGUGUUGCCGAGUCAGAGUAUCCAUGUCAUUGUAUAAUGAUUUAUGUUAGAGACUUUGCAGACAGAGUCACGUAUAUAGUAUGUCAUUCUUGUA